CUAAGCUUGGUUCAUGUUGUAGUAUAUGGUUAUUUCCAAACUUACUAAACUUGCCAGGCCAGGCAAACACAAAACCACUAAACAUGAGAUUACGCGCACCACAAAAUCAAAUCAAACAGAACACCAAGAACUGGCGACCAAUGUCCUCGCAUGCAUGCCACAUGAGAUUUUAUUAUUGCACAUCAAUGUCCAUUUUUUGACAUGAUGGUAGAGUGCAACUCUAGUGACAAAGGACGCAAACACAGUGACUAUGAAUAAGAGACUUGCCGGUGCAGUAGGCUUUCUUGACGUGCUUCCGAGUGCCUCCGCACCAGUACCCACAAAUCAUUUUGCAAAGAGGGACGUCCGGUACAUCGAGUGUUUCGCAAUGCUCUGUAGACAACAUACAUACAUCAGUGAAACAAUUCCAGACUGAAAGGGUCCAAAGAAAUUCGUGCAGUUGAAUUGACAAUAUUCCUGAUAACUUGUUCUACUCCAGUUGGAAGUUAAAAGGAAACACAUACAUAGGUGUAGGGAAAUCAAUUUCAUACCAGCGUGAAUGCAAUUUCCUAGCAGCAUAAGCACCAUAAGGCAAAGCAUAAUAGUUUUCCUCUCCAUAGGAUCUGGCACAAACUUCUUGUUCUCCUUUCUAGUAUUUGGGCUUCAAGAAGCAUACAUGAC
Molecule: long non-coding RNA, 660 nt
Filed under: Triticum aestivum (bread wheat)
Lineage: Eukaryota; Viridiplantae; Streptophyta; Magnoliopsida; Poales; Poaceae
Description: long non-coding RNA (TAES_LNC012577)
Source: RNAcentral